RNAcentral lists this ribosomal RNA (1704 nucleotides) under Aeromonas veronii. Its description in RNAcentral is "partial 23S ribosomal RNA". It matches the Rfam family "Bacterial large subunit ribosomal RNA", at positions 1 to 1753 of the family's 2925-position model. Lineage: Bacteria; Pseudomonadati; Pseudomonadota; Gammaproteobacteria; Aeromonadales; Aeromonadaceae. The record is from RNAcentral.
GUUGUAUGGUUAAGUGACUAAGCGUACAUGGUGGAUGCCUUGGCAGUCAGAGGCGAUGAAGGACGUACUAACCUGCGAUAAGCUGUGAGAAGUCGGUAAGAGACGCUAUUACUCACAGAUUUCCGAAUGGGGAAACCCACCCGAGAUAACUCGGGUAUCUGUUACUGAAUACAUAGGUAACAGAGGCGAACCGGGAGAACUGAAACAUCUAAGUACCCCGAGGAAAAGAAAUCAACCGAGAUUCCCUCAGUAGCGGCGAGCGAACGGGGAUUAGCCCUUAAGCAUCUUGGAAGUUAGUGGAACGGUCCUGGAAAGGCCGGCGAUACAGGGUGAUAGCCCCGUACACGAAAACAACCUUGAUGUGAAAUCGAGUAGGGCGGGACACGUGACAUCCUGUCUGAAUAUGGGGGGACCAUCCUCCAAGGCUAAAUACUCCUGACUGACCGAUAGUGAACCAGUACCGUGAGGGAAAGGCGAAAAGAACCCCUGUGAGGGGAGUGAAAUAGAACCUGAAACCGUGUACGUACAAGCAGUGGGAGCCCUUCGGGGUGACUGCGUACCUUUUGUAUAAUGGGUCAGCGACUUACAUUUUGUAGCGAGGUUAACCGUAUAGGGGAGCCGUAGGGAAACCGAGUCUUAACUGGGCGUCUAGUUGCAAGGUGUAGACCCGAAACCGGGUGAUCUAGCCAUGGGCAGGUUGAAGGUUGAGUAACAUCAACUGGAGGACCGAACCCACUAACGUUGCAAAGUUAGGGGAUGACCUGUGGCUGGGGGUGAAAGGCCAAUCAAACUCGGAGAUAGCUGGUUCUCCCCGAAAGCUAUUUAGGUAGCGCCUCGGACGAAUACUACUGGGGGUAGAGCACUGUUUGGGCUAGGGGGUCAUCCCGACUUACCAACCCCAUGCAAACUCCGAAUACCAGUAAGUAAUAUCCGGGAGACACACGGCGGGUGCUAACGUCCGUCGUGAAGAGGGAAACAACCCAGACCGCCGGCUAAGGUCCCAAAGUUCUGGUUAAGUGGGAAACGAUGUGGGAAGGCUCAGACAGCUAGGAUGUUGGCUUAGAAGCAGCCAUCAUUUAAAGAAAGCGUAAUAGCUCACUAGUCGAGUCGGCCUGCGCGGAAGAUGUAACGGGGCUCAAACCAGGCACCGAAGCCGCGGAUUCACACUUAUGUGUGAGUGGUAGGGGAGCGUUCUGUAAGUCUGCGAAGGUGUAUCGAGAGGUAUGCUGGAGAUAUCAGAAGUGCGAAUGCUGACGUAAGUAACGAUAAAGGGGGUGAAAAGCCUCCUCGCCGGAAGACCAAGGGUUCCUGUCCAACGUUAAUCGGGGCAGGGUGAGUCGACCCCUAAGGUGAGGCCGAAAGGCGUAAUCGAUGGGAAGCAGGUUAAUAUUCCUGCACGACUUGUAAUUGCGAUGGGGGGACGGAGAAGGCUAGGUGGGCCAGGCGACGGUUGUCCUGGUGAAAGUGCGUAGGUGGUGUUUCUAGGCAAAUCCGGAGACACAACACUGAGACACGAGACGAACGCACUACGGUGCGGAAGCCAUUGAUGCCCUGCUUCCAGGAAAAGCCUCUAAGCUUCAGAUUACAAGUCAUCGUACCCCAAACCGACACAGGUGGUCGGGUAGAGAAUACCAAGGCGCUUGAGAGAACUCGGGUGAAGGAACUAGGCAAAAUAGAACCGUAACUUCGGGAGAAGGUUCGCUC